AAUGAAUUGCAGGGGUACCGUUUUGGUUGAGAAGGCUGCCGCCUAACCCUUUGAACCUGUUUGUUAAGACAAGCGAAGGAAGCAAUCGAAGCUCUGCU
This 98-nucleotide non-coding RNA is filed under the name Aerococcus christensenii. RNAcentral's name for it is "TPP sequence". It matches the Rfam family "TPP riboswitch aptamer (THI element)". Rfam says of the family: Vitamin B(1) in its active form thiamin pyrophosphate (TPP) is an essential coenzyme that is synthesised by coupling of pyrimidine and thiazole moieties in bacteria. The previously detected thiamin-regulatory element, thi box was extended, resulting in a new, highly conserved RNA secondary structure, the THI element, which is widely distributed in eubacteria and also occurs in some archaea. The record is from Rfam by way of RNAcentral. Lineage: Bacteria; Bacillati; Bacillota; Bacilli; Lactobacillales; Aerococcaceae.